This 2605-nucleotide long non-coding RNA is filed under the name Coffea arabica (coffee). Its description in RNAcentral is "long non-coding RNA (CARA_LNC004445)". The record is from RNAcentral. Lineage: Eukaryota; Viridiplantae; Streptophyta; Magnoliopsida; Gentianales; Rubiaceae.
GAGAAGGCCAUCUGACUGAAUUUGUUUUUCUGAAGUUACAGGUUUUUGUUCAGAAAUACUACUUUUUUCUGUAUUUUGGUUUCCACCUAAAAGAGGCCUGAUUGGCAUCUCCAAAGAACUUGUCGUGGCAGAUCUCUCAAUCCGAGAAAAGGAGUAUGACCUGAGAUCCGGUAACGAGAGGAUCCUUCCCAGGCAUACAGGACUGCCAUCCAGAGGUGAAUGGGUCCCUGUUGUUUUCAACUCUGAUCGAUCGGGCGUGCGACUGUUUUCUUCUCUGUUAAAACAUAACUCAAGUAGUGGGUUAUAUCUACUUAAUGAUUCAUUGAAAGAUGAUAUUCUUCUAAUGCCGUGCAGUCCAAUCUUGCCAACUGCAGAAUUUUGCUCGUUCCAAGAACCACUCCAACUCCGAGGAAUGCAUUUAUUCCAAUUCAAUGUAACUACAUCCUUGUUUACGUCAUCCUCUUCCUUAGUAUCUUUUGGAUACCCGUAAGGAAUUUUAUGGAGGACUGCAUCCAUGACAAUUCUUUGCCUCUCCUUUCUGCUCUCCUUGAUUGCAUGUUUGAUUUUUUGCCUAAGAUUUUUGAAGCGUUUCAUGAUAAGUUUAUUCAUAUGAUGGGUCUUGAACUCCUUCAGUGAAUCUAAAGAAGCAUUAUCCUGGGGACAGAGCUGUUUUGGGUCUUCCGCCUCCGUGCAUUUGCCUUUUUUAAUUGCCAAAAUCUGGUCCAGGUCUUGAGAUGCUAAUGCAUUCGAAGUUAGGUCCUCUUCAGUUUGAGAUUUACGUUCCCCUUCUUUACAAGUUCCCAAUUCCUUCUUGCACCUGGGACUGUUGGAUGCAGAAGGUCUUUCGCCUGAGGAGCCAGGCACAGGAAAUGACACAGACUUCGUUAACCCUGAUCUUAGAGUGGAUGCCCUAUGGCUGUGUAAAUGAUGCGACAAUGAUGAAUUUGGAUCUUGUAAAACUUUCAGGAAUAACUCCUCCCUUAAGUUGAGCAAAUCCAGCGCAUCCAGAAAGAUCUUUGACUCUUGGAGUGAAGCAAUUUUACUCGGCUCUAUUGCACAUAUAAACUUGUCCUGAAGAAGAGUAUGAUCUUUAACUGGUUGCUUCCCAUGCUCAUUAACCUCACUCUGCCUCAAGUAAUUCUUAGUAAGCAUGGCAGCACACAAGUGACAUGUCCUGCUCUGUGCGACUGAUUCACCACAAAACUGUGGCGGAAGCGGAUCCAGUAAGAUGGAAACAGAAGAAUGCAGUGUAUUUUCCUGGUGAUCCAGGGACUCAUCGUUGAAGCUAGUUUCAACACAAGGAUCUAUACUGGAGACAUCUAAAUGAUGGAUAGAAGGUUUCCGCUCCAAUGGCAAUCUUGUGGGAUAGGAAGAGCUUCGGCGAUGACGGAUUCUUCUUCUAUAGACCUCUUCAGUAAUCAAGGCUUUUAUUCGAGAUUUCAUUGAACUUUUAUGCCCUGAACUAGAGUCUGAAGAUUUUGCAUGAUCCUGAAAGUAAAAAUCUCUUAGAACAUUUUCCAAAAAUGGACAACCUUCCUAUCCUUAUCCUAAUCCUAGCAAUGACAUUUAUAAGUACCUACGACUAAAAUUUUAUGUAUUAAAAUAGAAGUGUAGAGAAAAAGACUGCGAAUCUAUCUUCAAAUUUUGCUGCCCGGCAAGAUAUAUAGUACGUACAGAAGAUUUAGCAGUUUCAGCUUCUAAUUUUUCUUGCGGUUGCCCAGCAUUUGUUGUGUUCAGCUUACUUCCUGGAUCUUCAACCACUGAAAAGUAGCAAUCCACAUAAAUUUCAAUAGCAAGACCAAAAGUUAAAACGUUCUUUGCACGCCAAGAUCAUGAAAUUGUGCAGAUCCCAUGUACUAAAAUUUGCGUAGUAACAACUGCAUUGCCAGCAUCAAUAAGGCCACGAAUGGUAUAUUCAAACUUGAGACGUUACAUUUGUCACAAUAGCAACUUCACUUGCAUAUGUACUGAUGCUAUGGUCGCAGAAGGUCACAUAGUUAAACAUGCAUGCCGACUGAAGUGACGAGAAAAGAGCACUUAGAAAGACGGGGGCCUAUCUGAAACUACACGAGUAACCUGGCAAAAAAAGAGCAAUUAAGAGCCAAGUGAACGGGCAGAAUUAAGUACCUACACCAUUUGCCAAUUUGCCACCGCUGCUUGUUUUAUGUACAAGCCUUUUCCUGACAUGGUGCCACUUGUGGUUGUUGAAAUGAUGAAGUAUGCCUUUCAUACAUCCUGGAUUACUAUGCUUCAAAGUGAUGGAAGGCUCUUGCUGUGGAAUGUUCUUUCCCAUCUAUUACAAUUGGAUCAGCUUUAGUGGUGAAAUGGCUUGGAGUUAGAAAAUGAUCAGGUCAACAGUUGUACUGGCACGCUCUGAGAACCUGAUAGAAAAUUAUGAAAACCGACAUUAACGACCAGAAAAUGGAUCAUGAUAAUCGUCGAACAUAAAAACAAUAGGGAAAAAAAUCAUAUUGUUAAUGGCCCAUAAUCAAUAUAAUGCAUCCAACGGUUUAUCAUGUCUUAUGAAGCGGUUUCCCGGGAAACAGAGGAAACCUGCCAUUAGGGUGUGCUGCAAUUUUUUUGCCCCAAAACGUGGCUGCGUUGA